CAGAACAUAGCUUAAUCAAAGUAUUCCGCUUACACCGAACUGAUGCCUGCUAACCCAGACUGCUCUGAG
Molecule: transfer RNA, 69 nt
Filed under: Pristimantis vanadise (La Marca's robber frog)
Lineage: Eukaryota; Metazoa; Chordata; Amphibia; Anura; Strabomantidae
Description: tRNA-Val
Source: RNAcentral